UUUCUCAGGCGGCGAGGAAAACUAAAGUGCAGUUUGGGAGCAACAGAGGGCGGGUGUGUGAAAGGCCGCGGUCCGUGUGGAAAGCUGUAAGUACUCCGGUCACCAGAAGCAGUCACGGGUGGAAAAUGAGGCCCGGGGCGCUGCUGCCCUCCAGCGAUGCGGCGGCAGCGGCGCAACGCGGGGCGGCGGGGAAACUGCGCCGAAGAGAAGGCGCCCGUGGGCGCCCGGCGCCGAGAGGCUGGCCUAAGGGCCUUUCAGCUAAACCUGGAAGCUCAGAAUGAAAACGAGGGCACUUUCUGAGCGCUCCAUGUGUUCCCUUCAUCAUAACCUUACGAAGUUGGUGCUGUUACGAUUGUUCCAAUUCGUCGUAUGAUCCUGAGGAAGAGCGUAAGCGACCGGCCCGAGGCCACUCAGCUGGAGCCGGACGACGACACCUGGUAGCUUUCCAACCUGUGUGUUCUACUGUCACCCACCCUGUCAAUUACUUUAAGGAUGUUUAAAAGGCUCCUCGGCCCCAAGAUGACCCAGUUAUUUCAGUAUGUGUUUUAUAAACGUGUAAUUGGAAUAUACAAUUCACUGUAGAUUUGCUACUAAAUUGCUUUGCAGUGC
This is a non-coding RNA of Miniopterus natalensis, 609 nucleotides long. NCBI's taxonomy places the organism in Eukaryota, Metazoa, Chordata, Mammalia, Chiroptera, Miniopteridae. The record is from RefSeq and is a predicted model, not a curated record.